This 253-nucleotide ribosomal RNA is filed under the name uncultured bacterium. RNAcentral's name for it is "partial 16S ribosomal RNA". It matches the Rfam family "Bacterial small subunit ribosomal RNA", at positions 524 to 776 of the family's 1533-position model. The record is from RNAcentral.
GACGAACCGUGCGAACGUUGUUCGGAAUCACUGGGCUUAAAGGGCGCGUAGGCGGCAUAGCAAGUCCGGGGUGAAAGCCCCCGGCUCAACCGGGGAAGUGCCUUGGGAACUGCUGUGCUCGAGGGAGGUAGGGGUCGAGGGAACUUCUGGUGGAGCGGUGAAAUGCGUUGAUAUCAGAAGGAACGCCGGUGGCGAAAGCGCUCGACUGGACCUUUUCUGACGCUGAGGCGCGAAAGCUAGGGGAGCAAACGGG